This 782-nucleotide ribosomal RNA is filed under the name uncultured bacterium. Its description in RNAcentral is "bacterial SSU rRNA". It matches the Rfam family "Bacterial small subunit ribosomal RNA", at positions 28 to 808 of the family's 1533-position model. The record is from RNAcentral.
GAUGAACGCUGGCGGCGUGCUUAACACAUGCAAGUCGAACGAAGCACUUUAUUUGAUUUCCUUCGGGACUGAUUAUUUUGUGACUGAGUGGCGGACGGGUGAGUAACGCGUGGGUAACCUGCCUUGUACAGGGGGAUAACAGUUGGAAACGGCUGCUAAUACCGCAUAAGCGCACGGCAUCGCAUGAUGCAGUGUGAAAAACUCCGGUGGUAUAAGAUGGACCCGCGUUGGAUUAGCUAGUUGGUGAGGUAACGGCCUACCAAGGCGACGAUCCAUAGCCGACCUGAGAGGGUGACCGGCCACAUUGGGACUGAGACACGGCCCAAACUCCUACGGGAGGCAGCAGUGGGGAAUAUUGCACAAUGGGCGAAAGCCUGAUGCAGCGACGCCGCGUGAGCGAAGAAGUAUUUCGGUAUGUAAAGCUCUAUCAGCAGGGAAGAUAAUGACGGUACCUGACUAAGAAGCACCGGCUAAAUACGUGCCAGCAGCCGCGGUAAUACGUAUGGUGCAAGCGUUAUCCGGAUUUACUGGGUGUAAAGGGAGCGCAGGCGGUGCGGCAAGUCUGAUGUGAAAGCCCGGGGCUCAACCCCGGUACUGCAUUGGAAACUGUCGUACUAGAGUGUCGGAGGGGUAAGCGGAAUUCCUAGUGUAGCGGUGAAAUGCGUAGAUAUUAGGAGGAACACCAGUGGCGAAGGCGGCUUACUGGACGAUAACUGACGCUGAGGCUCGAAAGCGUGGGGAGCAAACAGGAUUAGAUACCCUGGUAGUCCACGCCGUAAACG